CGGGGUGUAGCGCAGGUGGUAGCGCACUAGACUGGGGGUCUAGGUGCCGCAGGUUCAAGUCCUGUCACUCCGACCA
RNAcentral lists this transfer RNA (76 nucleotides) under Clostridia bacterium. RNAcentral describes it as "tRNA-Pro". It matches the Rfam family "tRNA". From Rfam's summary of the family: Transfer RNA (tRNA) molecules are approximately 80 nucleotides in length. Their secondary structure includes four short double-helical elements and three loops (D, anti-codon, and T loops). Further hydrogen bonds mediate the characteristic L-shaped molecular structure. tRNAs have two regions of fundamental functional importance: the anti-codon, which is responsible for specific mRNA codon recognition, and the 3' end, to which the tRNAs corresponding amino acid is attached (by aminoacyl-tRNA synthetases). tRNAs cope with the degeneracy of the genetic code in two manners: having more than one tRNA (with a specific anti-codon) for a particular amino acid; and 'wobble' base-pairing, i.e. permitting non-standard base-pairing at the 3rd anti-codon position. Lineage: Bacteria; Bacillati; Bacillota; Clostridia. RNAcentral also lists the same sequence under 1 other name. The record is from RNAcentral.